Molecule: ribosomal RNA, 713 nt
Filed under: Bacillus subtilis
Lineage: Bacteria; Bacillati; Bacillota; Bacilli; Caryophanales; Bacillaceae
Description: bacterial SSU rRNA
Rfam family: Bacterial small subunit ribosomal RNA
Source: RNAcentral
UUAGCGGCGGACGGGNUGAGNUAACACGNUGGGAUAACCAUGCCAUGUAAGACUGGGAUAACUCCGGGAAACCGGGGCUAAUACCGGAUGGUUGUUUGAACCGCAUGGUUCAAACAUAAAAGGUGGCUUCGGCUACCACUUACAGAUGGACCCGCGGCGCAUUAGCUAGUUGGUGAGGUAACGGCUCACCAAGGCAACGAUGCGUAGCCGACCUGAGAGGGUGAUCGGCCACACUGGGACUGAGACACGGCCCAGACUCCUACGGGAGGCAGCAGUAGGGAAUCUUCCGCAAUGGACGAAAGUCUGACGGAGCAACGCCGCGUGAGUGAUGAAGGUUUUCGGAUCGUAAAGCUCUGUUGUUAGGGAAGAACAAGUACCGUUCGAAUAGGGCGGUACCUUGACGGUACCUAACCAGAAAGCCACGGCUAACUACGUGCCAGCAGCCGCGGUAAUACGUAGGUGGCAAGCGUUGUCCGGAAUUAUUGGGCGUAAAGGGCUCGCAGGCGGUUUCUUAAGUCUGAUGUGAAAGCCCCCGGCUCAACCGGGGAGGGUCAUUGGAAACUGGGGAACUUGAGUGCAGAAGAGGAGAGUGGAAUUCCACGUGUAGCGGUGAAAUGCGUAGAGAUGUGGAGGAACACCAGUGGCGAAGGCGACUCUCUGGUCUGUAACUGACGCUGANGAGCGAAAGCGUGGGGAGCGAACAGGAUUAGAUA